This is a non-coding RNA of Acanthosepion pharaonis, 111 nucleotides long. NCBI's taxonomy places the organism in Eukaryota, Metazoa, Mollusca, Cephalopoda, Sepiida, Sepiidae. The record is from the annotation of a GenBank genome assembly.
UUACGGCCGUAUCAUGUUGGAACACCGCUUCUCGUACGAUCACCGUAGUUAAGCAACGUCGAACCUGCUCAGUACUCAGAUGGGUGUACAUUUGGUAAUACUAGGUGCGGU